RNAcentral lists this ribosomal RNA (265 nucleotides) under uncultured bacterium. RNAcentral describes it as "partial 16S ribosomal RNA". It matches the Rfam family "Bacterial small subunit ribosomal RNA", at positions 29 to 289 of the family's 1533-position model. The record is from RNAcentral.
AUUAACGCUAAGCGGCAGGCAUAAUACAUGCGAAGUUGAACGGCAGCACAGGUAGCAAUACUGGGUGGCGAGUGGCGCACGGGUGCGUAACACGUAUGCAACCUACCCUAUACAGGCGAAUAACCUUUAGAAAUGAGGGCUAAUACGCCGUAGUAUUACAGAUGGGCAUCUAUUUGUAAUUAAAGAUUUAUCGGUAUAGGAUGGGCAUGCGUCCCAUUAGUUAGUUGGUAAGGUAACGGCUUACCAAGACGAUGAUGGGUAGGGG